UACGGAGGGAGCUAGCGUUGUUCGGAAUCACUGGGCGUAAAGCGCACGUAGGCGGCUUUGUAAGUUAGAGGUGAAAGCCCGGGGCUCAACUCCGGAACUGCCUUUAAGACUGCAUCGCUUGAAUCUGGGAGAGGUAAGUGGAAUUCCGAGUGUAGAGGUGAAAUUCGUAGAUAUUGGGAGGAACACCGGUGGCGAAAGCGGCUCCCUGGUCCGAUACUGACGCUCAUGUGCGAAAGCGUGGGGAGCAAACAGGAUUAGAAACCCGGGUAGU
Molecule: ribosomal RNA, 271 nt
Filed under: uncultured bacterium
Lineage: Bacteria
Description: partial 16S ribosomal RNA
Rfam family: Bacterial small subunit ribosomal RNA
Source: RNAcentral